RNAcentral lists this non-coding RNA (83 nucleotides) under unclassified sequences. RNAcentral describes it as "c-di-GMP-II sequence". It matches the Rfam family "Cyclic di-GMP-II riboswitch aptamer". The record is from RNAcentral.
AAAAAAAUUGGAAGCGAUGGAUCCCUGGUUUUAAUUGACGCUUGACCAGGGAGGAGCUAGUAGCGUAACCAGCCAGAUGGUCG